UGUGAACUCGAAGAGUAGGGCGGGACACGUGGUAUCCUGUCUGAAUAUGGGGGGACCAUCCUCCAAGGCUAAAUACUCCUGACUGACCGAUAGUGAACCAGUACCGUGAGGGAAAGGCGAAAAGAACCCCGGCGAGGGGAGUGAAAAAGAACCUGAAACCGUGUACGUACAAGCAGUGGGAGCACCUUCGGGUGUGACUGCGUACCUUUUGUAUAAUGGGUCAGCGACUUAUAUUCUGUAGCAAGGUUAACCGUAUAGGGGAGCCGCAGGGAAACCGAGUCUUAACUGGGCGUUAAGUUGCAGGGUAUAGACCCGAAACCCGGUGAUCUAGCCAUGGGCAGGUUGAAGGUUGGGUAACACUAACUGGAGGACCGAACCGACUAAUGUUGAAAAAUUAGCGGAUGACUUGUGGCUGGGGGUGAAAGGCCAAUCAAACCGGGAGAUAGCUGGUUCUCCCCGAAAGCUAUUUAGGUAGCGCCUCGUGAAUUCAUCUUCGGGGGUAGAGCACUGUUUCGGCUAGGGGGUCAUCCCGACUUACCAACCCGAUGCAAACUACGAAUACCGAAGAAUGUUAUCACGGGAGACACACGGCGGGUGCUAACGUCCGUCGUGAAGAGGGAAACAACCCAGACCGCCAGCUAAGGUCCCAAAGUCAUGGUUAAGUGGGAAACGAUGUGGGAAGGCACAGACAGCCAGGAUGUUGGCUUAGAAGCAGCCAUCAUUUAAAGAAAGCGUAAUAGCUCACUGGUCGAGUCGGCCUGCGCGGAAGAUGUAACGGGGCUAAACCAUGCACCGAAGCUGCGGCAGCGACACUAUGUGUUGUUGGGUAGGGGAGCGUUCUGUAAGCCUGCGAAGGUGACCUGUGAGGGUUGCUGGAGGUAUCAGAAGUGCGAAUGCUGACAUAAGUAACGAUAAAGCGGGUGAAAAGCCCGCUCGCCGGAAGACCAAGGGUUCCUGUCCAACGUUAAUCGGGGCAGGGUGAGUCGACCCCUAAGGCGAGGCCGAAAGGCGUAGUCGAUGGGAAACAGGUUAAUAUUCCUGUACUUGGUGUUACUGCGAAGGGGGGACGGAGAAGGCUAUGUUAGCCGGGCGACGGUUGUCCCGGUUUAAGCAUGUAGGCUGGUUGUCCAGGCAAAUCCGGAUAAUCAAGGCUGAGGUGUGAUGACGAGGCACUACGGUGCUGAAGUAACAAAUGCCCUGCUUCCAGGAAAAGCCUCUAAGCAUCAGGUAACAUUAAAUCGUACCCCAAACCGACACAGGUGGUCAGGUAGAGAAUACCAAGGCGCUUGAGAGAACUCGGGUGAAGGAACUAGGCAAAAUGGUGCCGUAACUUCGGGAGAAGGCACGCUGGUGUGUAGGUGAAGUCCCUGCGGAUGGAGCUGAGACCAGUCGAAGAUACCAGCUGGCUGCAACUGUUUAUUAAAAACACAGCACUGUGCAAACACGAAAGUGGACGUAUACGGUGUGACGCCUGCCCGGUGCCGGAAGGUUAAUUGAUGGGGUUAUCCGUAAGGAGAAGCUCUUGAUCGAAGCCCCGGUAAACGGCGGCCGUAACUAUAACGGUCCUAAGGUAGCGAAAUUCCUUGUCGGGUAAGUUCCGACCUGCACGAAUGGCGUAAUGAUGGCCAGGCUGUCUCCACCCGAGACUCAGUGAAAUUGAACUCGCUGUGAAGAUGCAGUGUACCCGCGGCAAGACGGAAAGACCCCGUGAACCUUUACUAUAGCUUGACACUGAACAUUGAGCCUUGAUGUGUAGGAUAGGUGGGAGGCUUUGAAGCGUGGACGCCAGUCUGCGUGGAGCCAACCUUGAAAUACCACCCUUUAAUGUUUGAUGUUCUAACGUUGGCCCCUUACCGGGGUUGCGGACAGUGUCUGGUGGGUAGUUUGACUGGGGCGGUCUCCUCCCAAAGCGUAACGGAGGAGCACGAAGGUUAGCUAAUCCUGGUCGGACAUCAGGAGGUUAGUGCAAUGGCAUAAGCUAGCUUGACUGCGAGCGUGACGGCGCGAGCAGGUGCGAAAGCAGGUCAUAGUGAUCCGGUGGUUCUGAAUGGAAGGGCCAUCGCUCAACGGAUAAAAGGUACUCCGGGGAUAACAGGCUGAUACCGCCCAAGAGUUCAUAUCGACGGCGGUGUUUGGCACCUCGAUGUCGGCUCAUCACAUCCUGGGGCUGAAGUAGGUCCCAAGGGUAUGGCUGUUCGCCAUUUAAAGUGGUACGCGAGCUGGGUUUAGAACGUCGUGAGACAGUUCGGUCCCUAUCUGCCGUGGGCGCUGGAGAAUUGAGGGGGGCUGCUCCUAGUACGAGAGGACCGGAGUGGACGCAUCACUGGUGUUCGGGUUGUCAUGCCAAUGGCACUGCCCGGUAGCUAAAUGCGGAAGAGAUAAGUGCUGAAAGCAUCUAAGCACGAAACUUGCCCCGAGAUGAGUUCUCCCUGAGACUUUAAGUCUCCUGAAGGAACGUUAAAGACGAUGACGUUGAUAGGCCGGGUGUGUAAGCGCAGCGAUGCGUUGAGCUAACCGGUACUAAUGAACCGUGAGGCUUAACCUUACAACGCCGAAG
Molecule: ribosomal RNA, 2557 nt
Filed under: Klebsiella pneumoniae
Lineage: Bacteria; Pseudomonadati; Pseudomonadota; Gammaproteobacteria; Enterobacterales; Enterobacteriaceae
Description: partial 23S ribosomal RNA
Rfam family: Bacterial large subunit ribosomal RNA
Source: RNAcentral